This 258-nucleotide ribosomal RNA is filed under the name uncultured bacterium. RNAcentral's name for it is "partial 16S ribosomal RNA". It matches the Rfam family "Bacterial small subunit ribosomal RNA", at positions 524 to 776 of the family's 1533-position model. The record is from RNAcentral.
UACGUAGGAGGCGAGCGUUGUCCGGAUUUACUGGGCGUAAAGGGCGCGCAGGCGGCAGUGCAAGUACGGAGUGAAAUCUCCCUGCUCAACGGGGAGGGUGCUCUGUAAACUGCACAGCUAGAGGACGGUAGAGGGGGGUGGAAUUGCUGGUGUAGCGGUGAAAUGCGUAGAGAUCAGCAGGAACACCCGUGGCGAAGGCGGCCCCCUGGGCCGUAAAUAACCUGACGCUGAGGCGCGAAGGCUAGGGGAGCGAACGGG